UCCUGCUUCGACUCUGUGAUUCGUCGGUGAGAGGAUCCUAAGCACCGUUUGGCGUCGGCUCUGCGAGCAGCUGAUCUUCCUUGAAGGAGACCUUCUGCAUUGUGGGCUGCAGACACCCUGUGGAGUAGGACCAUCAGCUUCGGGGAAGCUCCCUCACCCACAGGACCCGCAGCGCUUCCACCGCCCCAUCGAGGUCCUUUCUUUUCAAUGGUGGUCCUCUUUUUGCUGCUCCUCUUUCACUGAGAAUGACUGACAGCAAACCAAUGCUUGUCAGGAAGCAUGAAACAGAAAACACAAGAUGUUACACAGAGGAGAGCAGAUGUUUGGACAAUCCCCGUCCAGGUGCUCAGUGCAUCAGUGCUUCCCUUCCACGAAUCACACAGUGCUGGAACUCAUGAGCCAAGCAAGCAAACAAGCAUCCUGCAUGGAUCUGACAUGUGGCCAUUGAAGCAGUGGGGUAGAGACAACUGGGCAUUAAAAACAAAACACAAACUUAAUAAUUUUGUGACAGGAACUGUGCAAUAGCAGGUCAUUGUCCUUGGUAGAACAGAAGGUCUCUUCAAUUCUGUGUUGUUAGUUGCUAAGCUGCCUCAUGACAGGUAAAUAUGACUUCUUACCUAAUUUUCUUAAAUCUAAUUUUACUAUCAAUUACUAUCUUCCUUUCUCUCCUCCAAUUCAUAUAUUAAAAUAAAGUCAGAAAAAAUAAUCAGGAUUAAUCAUUCCCAGGAUGAGAAAAGCAAAUGUGAUGAGAUCUUGCUCUCCUUUUCAUUUACUUACUCUCACAUUUUGUUUAUUAUUUACUUCAUGAUGUUUUAUACUGUUGUGGUGGUGUUUAUACAAGCCAUAUCAUUAAGAGAUAUAAAAGUUCUAGUUCAUUUAAAGAUAAUGAUAUUUUGUGUAAAUAAAAUGUGUCAUCCAAUAUUGUAUUUUUUUCUGUUUUAUCGAAGACCUUCUGGAAUGGACUGAAAAAUACUUUUCAUCAAAAUAAAGAGUAAGAGAAUUGUUAGCA
Taeniopygia guttata (zebra finch) is the source of this 1009-nucleotide non-coding RNA. Lineage: Eukaryota; Metazoa; Chordata; Aves; Passeriformes; Estrildidae. The record is from RefSeq and is a predicted model, not a curated record.